AGAGUUUGAUUAUGGCUCAGAACGAACGCUGGCGGCAUGCCUCAUACAUGCAAGUCGAACGAGGUCUUCGGACCUAGUGGCGCACGGGUGAGUAACAUGUGGGAAUCUGCCUGAAGGUUCGGAAUAACUGCGGGAAACUGUAGCUAAUACCGGAUGUGUCUGCAAAGAGAAAGAUUUAUCGCCUUCAGAUGAGCCCGCACUAGAUUAGCUAGUUGGUGAGGUAAUUGCUCCACCAAGGCUACGAUCUAUAGCUGAUUUGAGAGGAUGAUCAGCCACACUGGGACUGAGACACGGCCCAGACUCCUACGGGAGGCAGCAGUAGGGAAUAUUGGACAAUGGGGGAAACCCUGAUCCAGCAAUGCCGCGUGAGUGAAGAAGGCCUUCGGGUUGUAAAACUCUUUCAUCAAUGAUGAUAAUGACAUUAGUUGAAGAAGAAGCCCCGGCUAACUUCGUGCCAGCAGCCGCGGUAAUACGAAGGGGGCUAGCGUUGUUCGGAAUCACUGGGCGUAAAGCGUAUGUAGGCGGAUCAAAAAGUUAGAUGUGAAAUCCCUGGGCUCAACCCAGGAACUGCAUUUAAAACUAGUGAUCUAGAAUUUGGUAGGGGUUAGUAGAAUUUCCAGUGUAGAGGUGAAAUUCGUAGAUAUUGGAAAGAAUACCAGUGGCGAAGGCGACUAACUGGGCCAUUUUUGACGCUGAGAUACGAAAGCGUGGGUAGCAAACAGGAUUAGAUACCCUGGUAGUCCACGCAGUAAACGAUGAGUGCUAGUCGCUGGGACAAUAGUUUCAGUGUCGAAGCUAACGCAUUAAGCACUCCGCCUGGGAAGUACGGUCGCAAGAUUAAAACUCAAAGGAAUUGACGGGGGCCCGCACAAGCGGUGGAGCAUGUGGUUUAAUUCGAAGCAACGCGAAGAACCUUACCAGACCUUGACAUGGUGUGUUUGAAUUACAGAAUCGUAAUUCUUCAGUUCGGCUGGCACACACACAGGUGCUG
RNAcentral lists this ribosomal RNA (991 nucleotides) under marine metagenome. Its description in RNAcentral is "bacterial SSU rRNA". It matches the Rfam family "Bacterial small subunit ribosomal RNA", at positions 8 to 1043 of the family's 1533-position model. The record is from RNAcentral.